AAGUCUACACAUCAGGAGAAAACAACUAAAAUGGAGAUAGGAACUUGUUUUUUGGACACCUUUUGGCACCCACCAUCACAGAUUUUACAGUCUCAAUUUCUCCUGCACAGAUCCCACUGACAAAGGGUAUUACAUUUUGCUGACAUCAGUGACCUGGCAUCACGGAAUUAUUCCCUGCUUCGGUUUACAGAGGAAUAAACCAGUAAUUAAUUAUAUAUCAGAACAUGAGAAUCGACCUGGCAAUAAUGUACAGGCUAAGAACUCUAUUUACAUAUGUAGGUUAUUUAAAAUAUGUCUUGUUAAAUAAAUAUUUAAAACACUUCCUUAUUUAGCUUAUACACUGUUUGGACUGAAGCUGCAAUCCUCAUUGCAGAAUGUUCGAAAGAGUAAGAGUGUUGUCAGAGAUUUUCAUCUCUGCCUGACCUGCAAAAUCUCCUCUUUGUGCAUGGCAGGGCAUACAAAAAAUCUCUUUAAUGAAAACAACAACAUAAACUAUCUCUAUUGGCACUGACAUAAAUAAUGAAAGUAGAAAUUUCAUCCUGAGAAAAUCACAAAACUUAUUUUUAGGUUGAGGGAAGUAGAACAAGAGGCCCAGGCAUAAAUUAAUCACAAUCGACAUGACCACCUCAGAGAGAGCAGUUAAAAGUAGACAGUAAGGGAAACAAAUGAUUUCACAGAAAAAUGUUCUCCUCGCUGUUGGUCUUUUUCCCCUUGUAAAUAUCCAGAAUUGCUUUUAAAGUGGAAAUAAAAUAAAAUACAGGACUUAAGACUUUUCCGUAUCUCUCAAAUCAAUAUACAGCCACAAUUUUGAAACAACCAUAAUAAUGAGAAUACACAAGACAACUCCAAUAAUGUGGGAAGACAAACUUUGCAAUUCACAUCAUGGCCACACUAAGACUCAGUUAGGGUCCCAGAAGGUAUUCAAUGUAUUUCUGGGGGCUCAGAAAUUAGCUUUUUUUGGGAGGAUAUCUCUAUACCUGCAACGUUUGCUCCCUUCAGAAUGGAAUCCCGACCAUGACGAUUUCUGAUCCACCAGGGGGAGCAGUUCACCAGCACAAAACAAGCCUUCCCCAAAGGAAGUCGCUGAAGGCGCCU
Molecule: long non-coding RNA, 1095 nt
Filed under: Homo sapiens (human)
Lineage: Eukaryota; Metazoa; Chordata; Mammalia; Primates; Hominidae
Description: HSALNT0225151
Source: RNAcentral